UGGGGAAUAUUGCACAAUGGGGGAAACCCUGAUGCAGCGACGCCGCGUGAACGAAGAAGGUAUUCGUAUCGUAAAGUUCUGUCCUAUGGGAAGAUAAUGACAGUACCAUAGAAGAAAGCUCCGGCUAAAUACGUGCCAGCAGCCGCAGUAAUACGUAUGGAGCGAGCGUUGUCCGGAAUUAUUGGGCGUAAAGGGUACGCAGGCGGUUUAAUAAGUCGAAUGUUAAAGAUCGGGGCUCAACCCCGUAAAGCAUUGGAAACUGAUAAACUUGAGUAGUGGAGAGGAAAGUGGAAUUCCUAGUGUAGUGGUGAAAUACGUAGAUAUUAGGAGGAAUACCAGUAGCGAAGGCGACUUUCUGGACACAAACUGACGCUGAGGUACGAAAGCGUGGGGAGCAAACAGG
This 403-nucleotide ribosomal RNA is filed under the name bacterium. Its description in RNAcentral is "partial 16S ribosomal RNA". It matches the Rfam family "Bacterial small subunit ribosomal RNA", at positions 355 to 776 of the family's 1533-position model. The record is from RNAcentral.